Molecule: ribosomal RNA, 1680 nt
Filed under: Salmonella enterica subsp. diarizonae
Lineage: Bacteria; Pseudomonadati; Pseudomonadota; Gammaproteobacteria; Enterobacterales; Enterobacteriaceae
Description: partial 23S ribosomal RNA
Rfam family: Bacterial large subunit ribosomal RNA
Source: RNAcentral
UAAGCCGUUGAAGGUGUCCUGUGAGGGGUGCUGGAGGUAUCAGAAGUGCGAAUGCUGACAUAAGUAACGAUAAAGCGGGUGAAAAGCCCGCUCGCCGGAAGACCAAGGGUUCCUGUCCAACGUUAAUCGGGGCAGGGUGAGUCGACCCCUAAGGCGAGGCCGAAAGGCGUAGUCGAUGGGAAACGGGUUAAUAUUCCCGUACUUGGUGUUACUGCGAAGGGGGGACGGAGAAGGCUAUGUUGGCCGGGCGACGGUUGUCCCGGUUUAAGCGUGUAGGUGUGUGUUCCAGGUAAAUCCGGUUCACUUUAACACUGAGGCGUGAUGACGAGGCACCACGGUGCUGAAGCAACAAAUGCCCUGCUUCCAGGAAAAGCCUCUAAGCAUCAGGUAACAUCAAAUCGUACCCCAAACCGACACAGGUGGUCAGGUAGAGAAUACCAAGGCGCUUGAGAGAACUCGGGUGAAGGAACUAGGCAAAAUGGUGCCGUAACUUCGGGAGAAGGCACGCUGACACGUAGGUGAAGUGAUUUACUCAUGGAGCUGAAGUCAGUCGAAGAUACCAGCUGGCUGCAACUGUUUAUUAAAAACACAGCACUGUGCAAACACGAAAGUGGACGUAUACGGUGUGACGCCUGCCCGGUGCCGGAAGGUUAAUUGAUGGGGUCAGCGCAAGCGAAGCUCCUGAUCGAAGCCCCGGUAAACGGCGGCCGUAACUAUAACGGUCCUAAGGUAGCGAAAUUCCUUGUCGGGUAAGUUCCGACCUGCACGAAUGGCGUAAUGAUGGCCAGGCUGUCUCCACCCGAGACUCAGUGAAAUUGAACUCGCUGUGAAGAUGCAGUGUACCCGCGGCAAGACGGAAAGACCCCGUGAACCUUUACUAUAGCUUGACACUGAACAUUGAGCCUUGAUGUGUAGGAUAGGUGGGAGGCUUUGAAGCGUGGACGCCAGUCUGCGUGGAGCCGACCUUGAAAUACCACCCUUUAAUGUUUGAUGUUCUAACGUGGACCCGUAAUCCGGGUUGCGGACAGUGUCUGGUGGGUAGUUUGACUGGGGCGGUCUCCUCCUAAAGAGUAACGGAGGAGCACGAAGGUUGGCUAAUCCUGGUCGGACAUCAGGAGGUUAGUGCAAUGGCAUAAGCCAGCUUGACUGCGAGCGUGACGGCGCGAGCAGGUGCGAAAGCAGGUCAUAGUGAUCCGGUGGUUCUGAAUGGAAGGGCCAUCGCUCAACGGAUAAAAGGUACUCCGGGGAUAACAGGCUGAUACCGCCCAAGAGUUCAUAUCGACGGCGGUGUUUGGCACCUCGAUGUCGGCUCAUCACAUCCUGGGGCUGAAGUAGGUCCCAAGGGUAUGGCUGUUCGCCAUUUAAAGUGGUACGCGAGCUGGGUUUAGAACGUCGUGAGACAGUUCGGUCCCUAUCUGCCGUGGGCGCUGGAAGACUGAGGGGGGCUGCUCCUAGUACGAGAGGACCGGAGUGGACGCAUCACUGGUGUUCGGGUUGUCAUGCCAAUGGCACUGCCCGGUAGCUAAAUGCGGAAAAGAUAAGUGCUGAAAGCAUCUAAGCACGAAACUUGCCCCGAGAUGAGUCUUCCCUGAGACCUUGAGUCUCCUGAAGGAACGUUAAAGACGAUGACGUUGAUAGGCCGGGUGUGUAAGCGCAGCGAUGCGUUGAGCUAACCGGUAC